RNAcentral lists this ribosomal RNA (378 nucleotides) under uncultured Bacteroidales bacterium. RNAcentral's name for it is "bacterial SSU rRNA". It matches the Rfam family "Bacterial small subunit ribosomal RNA", at positions 22 to 399 of the family's 1533-position model. The record is from RNAcentral. Lineage: Bacteria; Pseudomonadati; Bacteroidota; Bacteroidia; Bacteroidales.
GCUCAGGAUGAACGCUAGCUACAGGCUUAACACAUGCAAGUCGAGGGGUAGCAGGGUAGCAAUACCGCUGACGACCGGCGCACGGGUGAGUAACACGUAUCCAACCUUCCCAUAACUCGGGGAUAGCCUUUCGAAAAAAAGAUUAAUACCCGAUAGUACUUAAGAAAGGCAUCUUUUUUAAGUUAAAGAUUUAUUGGUUAUGGAUGGGGAUGCGUUCCAUUAGAUAGUUGGUGAGGUAACGGCUCACCAAGUCUUCGAUGGAUAGGGGUUCUGAGAGGAAGGUCCCCCACAUUGGUACUGAGACACGGACCAAACUCCUACGGGAGGCAGCAGUGAGGAAUAUUGGUCAAUGGGCGAGAGCCUGAACCAGCCAAGUAG